GUCCACGCCGUAACGAUGAGUGCUAGGUGCUGCGGGUAUUGACCCUGCGGUGCCGUAGCUAACGCGUUAAGCACUCCGCCUGGGGAGUACGGCCGCAAGGCUAAACUCAAAGGAAUUGACGGGGCCCGCACAAGCGGUGGAGCAUGUGGUUCAAUUCGACGCAACGCGCAGAACCUUACCUGGGUUAAAUCCACUCGAAUCUGGCAGAGAUGCCGGGGUGCCUUUCGGGGAACGAGUGAGAAGGUGCUGCAUGGCUGUCGU
RNAcentral lists this ribosomal RNA (261 nucleotides) under uncultured bacterium. Its description in RNAcentral is "partial 16S ribosomal RNA". It matches the Rfam family "Bacterial small subunit ribosomal RNA", at positions 793 to 1055 of the family's 1533-position model. The record is from RNAcentral.